AACGUAGGACACAAGCGUUAUCCGGAGUUACUGGGCGUAAAGCGCGCGCAGGCGGUUUGUUAAGUUCGCUAUGAAAGCGCCCGGCUAAACUGGGCGAGGCUGGCGGAUACUGGCAAGCUAGAGUGAGACAGAGGCAGAUGGAAUUCCGCGUGUAGUGGUGAAAUGCGUAGAGAUGCGGAGGAACACCAGUGGCGAAGGCGGUCUGCUGGGUCUCAACUGACGCUGAGGCGCGAAAGCGUGGGUAGCGAACGGG
RNAcentral lists this ribosomal RNA (253 nucleotides) under uncultured bacterium. RNAcentral's name for it is "partial 16S ribosomal RNA". It matches the Rfam family "Bacterial small subunit ribosomal RNA", at positions 524 to 776 of the family's 1533-position model. The record is from RNAcentral.